Molecule: long non-coding RNA, 1305 nt
Organism: Drosophila simulans
Lineage: Eukaryota; Metazoa; Arthropoda; Insecta; Diptera; Drosophilidae
Exons: 2
Source: RefSeq, a predicted model, not a curated record
CAGUGGUAGUGUGCACUGGAAUCGAGCCUGUUAGAUAACUUUUUGCUUUCACUGUAGGCGAUAAUGAUGGAAGGGGAAAACCCUCGCGUGAAUGGAACCGCACAAAUCAUUUAUGGCUGAUGCGGAUGCUGACUGUUGAAUGCCAAAUGCAAAAUGUACGGUGCAAUUUAUGCAAAUUUGUAUUUCAAUUCAGCCCACACAACAACACCACUACGCCCUGGGAUCUAAUAGUUAUAUUUUUAUAUACGUAUGCUUAUAAAAAUGGUGUAUGAAAUGGUUGGGAAAACAAGUUGAACAAGUCAAAGUACUCGGCGGUGGCGCAGUCUAUAUAGAUAUGGUAUUUGUUUUGGCUUUGCGUUAUUAGCGUGUCGUGACUGUGGCAUUAGAGCUCUUCGCGUUUCGGAUUGCGGCGGAUUUCUAUUUGUCCAACCAUAUCGGAUACACAGAUCCAUUCACACCUUGCCGAGAAAGAAGUAUGUAUGCAGGUAGGUACGGGUGUAUCUUGUAUCUUGCAGAUACGAACGUUGCUGUGGACUAUUUCAGGGAAAUGUCAAGCCGCAGACAAUUGUCGAAGCCGAUCACGUUGCAUGCGAUUCCCUCUCGACUGUCAGACAGUAAUAAUUUUUGAAAUUGCACAUUAAUGGCGGGGCAUUUGCAAAUUGCUUAUGCAGCAUGCAGUGCAGGCUGAUUUGGUGAAAAUGCAGCUCACGUUUGCAGCUACUUGCAGAAAAGGUCCGCAUUGCGCAUACGCUCUGUGGUCCGUCGGCGGAUGCAAUAAGUCAAAGGGUGACCCUGGCAUUUUCUAACCCACUUGGCUGCCAACCGACCAAUCAACGCUCAACAGCGAAAAUCGUAUGUAUCUGGCUGUCAUUAGUUUCGCCACUUGUCACACCCAAAGGGAGCUCGAGGCUUCACUGUACUCACCGGUGGCGGUUCGCUGGCGGUGCUGUAGACCUCGCUAGCCGCAUAGUCGGGCUUCAUUUGCACGGUAGCCAUCGAGACGGUAUCCUUCUCGGUCAUCUAUAGCACUACAAAAUAUGGGGAACAAUCGGUUAACUCUCGGCUACUCGAAGUCCUGCCAUGUAAAAUCCAAGCAAGGAUAAUUGAUAAUUGUGGGCAAUAACAGUUCGUAUUGUAGUUGGGAAGACACAAUUUUCUACACUUUCUUUUAUCACUUUUCACUUGCUACAGUUUUAAUUCGCAGCGUCUGGCAUUAGUAUCCUUCACUUACGUAGAGGAUUUUCCAAAAAUUCGACAAAAAGUAAGAGGAAUUUCGUUGUACGAUUUAUUAUUCAGCGGUCUUGU